GGAAGGGUGCAGGCCUGUUGGUAUGGUGGACAUAUCGAGUGAAAUGGAGAUAGUGCCAGGGGUGGGGCAGGAGGGGUGGAGAGGUAGAUCUGUUAGAUUUGGAAGGACCUUCCUUGUCAUGUGUUUAGGAGUCCGGAGUUUCACUAACUGGCAAUGGAGAACAAUGAAGGAGGAGAGGAACAAGACUAAUCAUAUUUUUAUUUUAGAAAAGAUCACUCUGGAUCAUGCAGCAGUGUAGCAAAGAGAAGACUCCUUCCUACUUUCCCUUCCUCUCUCUUUCUUACUAACCUCUCCUUUUCUCCUUCUUUUUAUUCUCUCUCUCUCUCUCUCUCUCUCUCUCUCUCUCUCUCAAUUAUGUCUUACCUGGAAAGGAGUCCAAAGUAUCCUGGAAAGGUCAAUCUACAUUCUCUCUUAUUAAAUAUUUCUGAAUCCCUCAUUUCAGAAGUAGCCAAAACGUUGAUGAUUGGAGUUCCUGAGGUACCUCUAAACUUAGUAAAAAAAAAAAAUGAUAGAAUUAGAAAAGAAUAAGUAAAGGAGGGUAAUUUUUUUCCGUCUUACCUCUUUGUUUCCCAAGCAUGUGGUAUUUCUGAUCCAGGAGAAAAGCUAAAAUACCCUGUAGAUAAAAGUUCACCCAAAACCCCCACAGCAAGGCUCAAGUUAUGCAAUAGUAAAUGUGAUUAAUUACUGUAAUAAUUCUUAGGAUUGGAAAUUACUCAAGUCUGUGCCUUGGUGUUUCCAUUAAGGCUCAGAAUAUGAAAAUGUCCUUGGCCUUGACGCAAAAUUGAAAUGAAGGCCAAAGUUGAAAAAUAAUACGUCUGCCUGGUCCCACCAGUCCUAUAUAAUAUGUGGUGUGGUUCUCUGCCCUCCAAGAACAAAUUCAAUGAUACCAGUCCAUCUAAAUUCCUUGGGUCCUAGAGGCCAGGACAAGCCAGAAAAGUAGCCCAUCAUAGCACAGAGGCCACAGCACAGGUAGUAAAGGCAAGGAGACAAGCCUGAGGUCAGAUCAGAUCACAGAUAGGCAUCUGUGGAACCACAUUCCUUCACUUCUUGGGACCUGCUGCUUAGCCUGUAAGAUGCAAGAAGAAAAAUCCAUCCCAGAGUUCAGGUUUGAGAUGAAAAUGAGAGGCUAUAUGGAAAACAAUGAGUACAUAAUUCACACCAAAUAAAUGCUUGUUGAAUAAAUGAAUGAAGGAAUAUGUAAGUGGACAUAAAACAACUUUCUUCUAUGUAAUGAAAGUCAUAUAAAUGGGAAGACCAGACAGAUCUCUCAAGGUCCCCCCCCCCCCCAGUUUCCUUGAAUCUAAAGGUCAAUGGCUAUGCUGUCUAUUAUAGCAGCCACUAGUUUGGUGUGCAUAUGGAGCAUUUGAGAUAUGGCUCAUCCAGAAUAAGAUGCAGUGUAAGUGUCAAAAACUGACAUAAACCUCAAAGAUUUAGUAUGUCUUGGGACAUAUGAGAAAAUGGCUAAAACCACUCAAUAUUUCUUAUAUCAAGUACAUGUUGGGUGACAGUAUUUUGGACAUACUAGGUUAAAUACAAGGUAUUAUCAAAAUUAAAAAAAUGAUUUUUUUCUAACUUCCAAAACUCAAAAGGAGAAAAAGAUGCAGAUGACUGUGCAAAGAUGACUUGGGCAAAGGAAUCUGACCUGAAGAGGGCCAAGGUUCAGAAUGUGUGUAGGAUCCACUGGAGAAGCCCACCUAUGCACUUGCAGACUUCCCCUGACAAGAGGCCAAGCCAUUAGAUGUCUGCCUAUCUGGUCCUUCAAACUUAGGGAGCUUACCUGUCACUAAGCCAAGGCCUUUCACUUACUCAAGUUAGGGUGACUCUUGGGAGAAGAACUUGAAAAUGUGCCCUUCUCAUGAGACCUGGUGCUAUUUCAGCAAAAUAAAAAUAAAUAAAUAAUGAAAAUUUAAUACAGUACAAUAAAAAGCAAACAGCCUCUGAAAAGAUCACAAAGAAAGCUUCAGAGAAAGCUGCCAUCCCUCGUCUCAUGUUAACGUCCUCUCAUAUUCUCCUUUACAGCUAUUCUAAAUCCCAGCUGCUUUCCUCUGCCCCCCUUUCUCCUGACCCACCAAUCCCUUAUUCUGAACAUCUAAUCUGAGAAGAUGUCUUCCUCUCACUUCUGAGGAGACGGGGCUGUUGGAAUCCUGUCCCCUUGGUGUUCCUCCUCUCCAUCUUCCAGUUACAUCUCACCUGGUCCUCAUCCCUCUUCCUCUCCCUCUAUCUGAGAGGGGGUGGUGUGGUGGAGCAAGGCAGAGCAAGGUGUGCCAUGGGGACGUACAGGGUCAUGGAUACCUGUAGAUUUUAGAUGAAAUUCUUGUUCCAACAGUCUCCGUUCAUAUAAAAUUGAGCCUCAGCAUUUUCAUCUGUAAAGUGGGGAGUUUAAAUAGCCUACUUUACUUUUCUCCAAUGACAUAAUACAUGUGAGCCUACAGGACCCUAUUUAUCAAAAUUAAUAGCCAUUUGAAGUGUCCUUCCAUAUAUACACACAUUCAUGUGUCCUUAAUCUAUGUGUGAGUUAUGGUCCUCCAAAAUUAUGUUAGUUGAGUCUUGGUCUAAAUAGGUCACUAAUUUUUUUUUAUUUUGUUUACUUUUGGGGGUGGAGGAUAAAUAAAUAAUUUGUGGUAUUUUCUACAUAUUUUGACUAAUAGGGAUUAAUAAAGGAUAGUUAUUUGACAUCUUAACUAUGUGCAUGGUAUUGUCAUAGGUGUUUUUUUAUGUUUGGUGAAGACCUCAUAUAGUCCUAUGAAGUUAGAAUUAUAAUUCUCUGCUUUUUGAAGAUGUGUCAAUAAGCUCAGUGGUACUAUCUUGUCCGUGUUCACAUGGCUAAGAAUGAGUUAGAUCGGGAUUUACUGCAAUGUAGCUGGAGUCUAGAGCUUCAGCCUUGAACUCCCAACUCUCUUGCCUUUCCAUGAUCAAAUCUGUCUACUCACCACCUUCCACUCCCAAGCUUCGUUUGACUUCUCUUCCCUUUAUCUAUUGACUUUGCCAUCUUGGACUCAUGCCCAUUGCAAAGAUUGUCACACAUGUCAGCCAUUGAUUGAUUAAUUCUACAAGCAUUCAUUGAGUCCUGCUAUGUUCCCAUCAGGAAUAUCUAGGAUAAAACAAAAUAAAUGAAGCUAACAAUGAAAAAAAAAAAAAAUCCAAUACCAACCAACUACAAAACAAAUAGAAAAAAUGACUGUAUUUCAUAUCUAGGGCAGGGUAAAAAUGUUACAUAAUUGAUACCAUUUUAGUAUAGGGACCAUGUGAACAUAUUAGACGAGAAACUUACUAUUGUUUCUAAAUAAUUCAGUUAGCAAAAGAAUACGAAUGUAUUUUAUUUGUGGAACCCAGAAUACUGACAAAAACAGAAACAACAAAUGUAGGAUAAUCUUCUAGGGUAUCCAUUCUGACAGGCCUACUAGGUCCUUCUCUAUGUUACCAGCCUUUGAAGUACACAGUCAGUGGCCCUGCACCCCAUCCCCACUGUAAGAUUCCCUUCUUUGUCUUAAGCCAGAGACUGUCAGUGAAUAUUCAUGAUCACCCAGAGAAUGGAGAGACUGCAGAAAAGCCAUGCAUUUUAGAAUCCAGAAUGAAAUGCAUCCUUGCUGAAAGAGCACAGAAAAAACAAUGGCGAGACCAGUUCUUAGUCCAUCUUUAACCAGUAACAUAUUAUUUAAUCAGGUUCAAGGAACUCACCUGAAUUUUCCUAUCUUUAAAGAAGGAGAUGGAUUAGAUUUGGUUGUGACAUUAUGAUGCUCUGAAUUAUAGAUUAGAUCCAGGGAUCUAGGGAGAAAAUCUCAGGGAAAAGAUUUAGAAAAUUAUCCUAAAUUCCUUCUUUUGACAAAGGACCAAACAUUCAAAAGAAAGAAAUCCCAUGAUUCUUCAGUUGGAUAAGCCGAUCUUCUGACCACCUUCACCUUAAGGACAUUUCUGAAUCACAGCACAGAUGAACAGUCUCUGCUGAGGCAGGAUUAGGAAGAUGACAUAGAGAUGUUGCCUGGAUUCCCAGAAGGAGACAGGUAGAUAAGGAUGGACAGCAUUGUUAUCUUCACAAAAGUGAUGUCUCACCUUGUUUGUGAGUGUCUGGCCUACAUCUCAGUUCCCUGAAACCACAUAUUCAACACGACACCCUUAGAACUCUUUUCUUCUUGAAACAGUUUUUAUUUAAACUGGUUACUUUAAAAUGUUGCUACCAAGACAGUAAAGGAUAAGACAUUCUCAUGUCAAUUAACAUCCUCUUGAUAACAUUUAUGUGGAAACUGGAAAUUAUUUUUUUAUUCCAUCUAAACAGGAGACCACAUUUCCAAAGUUAUUACUGAAUGUGAGAGCUCUGUCUUACUACCUCUACCUGCCAUCAAGCCUUUUUGGAAAUGGAUGUAGAUAAUUAUCUUAUUCACACUUAUUUAGCAAGCAUUUUGCAGCAGUACUCAGAAUUCAGAGAAGAAGAGACACUUGUGGGGUGAUGGGCUUUAGCAAAUGCUUAGGCUUUGUGCACAGGACUGUUGCUGAGCACUUUAUUCAGAAAAAUAAAACAUCUUCUGGUCUCCCCAACAAAUUCGUAAGUGGGGAAGGAUGGCCCGAGAAAAGCAUGGGUGUGAAAAAGAAAUUCACUGAGUACUUCCCUCCCUUUUCUCAAAGCUUAAGUGCCCUGGUGGAAGGGGGGGGGGUAUUUGUACAUGGAGAGGCUCCUUGAAGGAAAUUGAGAAGGCUUUCACCCACUUACAGAGUGAGAUAGAGUGAAGUUAAAUGAGGCAUAUAAAAGAAACUGACUUAAGAUUCUCCCCAAUCUACUAUCCUUCUGCAAGGAAGCAGUGGUGGUAUUUUCUACUUUCAAGAGUUUCUUAGGAUAAAUCCCACCACUGAGAUACAAAAUCACAUAUUUGAAGACCAUAGGAGACAUCCUAGUCCAUCAAAAUUAAAGCAGGUGUUAGCCUGUGCUUUGCCUUUGACUUAACGUGCAAACCAUCUAAGUCUUAUUUCUUCACCUGAUUGGUACACCCCACUCCUGCCUCUGUGCUUCGGUAUCACUUUUAUACACAGAGCAUCCAAACAAAGGUUCAUUGCCAGGAAAAGGCUCCACCUCUAAAAACAUUUGCAAAUCAAAGGAAUGAAUGAUGUCUAAGAGUACCGGAGGUUUUCUGUCUAGGAUUCUAACUUCGAAAUUCUUACCGUUUAGAAAGGCUCUGUAAGGAUUUUGUCAAACAUGCGAUGUUCCCUCUGCCAGCUAGUCUGCUGUUCUCGGGGGAGACCCCUGCUUGGGAAUCAGUUGAAAUCUCAGAAUGGAGUUAUGGUCAUCGGAAUUCAACAGACGGUUUCCAGUGUUUUGUAAAGUUUCCUUUUGCUCCUGUCUUGGUUUAUAAAAUUCUUUUGUACUACAAAGUCUCCACAGCACUAAAACAGCAAAGGAAGGCACACAGUAUUCCAGGAGCACCAGGAUGUCAGAUGCUGCAUUUUGUCAGGUUUGGAGCAUGAGCUGAGAGGCAUCAUCAUCAUGUCAAUUUUCCUGACAAGGACGCUGAGCCCUGGGAGUAGGAUAACUUGCACAGGGCACCUUGAAGGGUCCAAAGCACUGUUACGAUGUGAGCCCAGGGCUUUCUGAACUAAAGCCCUGGAGGUGUGUUUAAUUACCACAAUUGUAGAGGGUGGGACUACCAGAAUCCAGAAAGUCCAUAAACAUUCUACAAGGCAGGAUGCACUCCACAAGGCCACACUUGCAUUUCAUCCCACUCUCCUUAGGUUGAGAGCCCAAAGCUUCAGACAGCUUGUCGAAAGUCUGCUGACUACACUGGAAUCCAAACAUCUGAGCCCAUGACUGGAGCCAGUGGUGUUUCCUGAGCCACAGACUCCAAAAAGCCACGAUGCCCAGCAGUGGGGAAAAUUGGGGCCUCUUGUCAAAAGCCCGGGGUGCUAAGUAUUACUGGAGAUUUUCAGCUAGUGGAGAAAAAAAUGUCAAAUGUAUAAAUAAAAGCAGUUACACAACUUUAUUUUGUUAACCCAGGAAACCCAACAGUGUUCAGAUUGAGCUCAAAGUAGAGAAUAGAUUUAGAAAUAACCCAAAGUGUUUCAGCAAGAACAGUUACUCAGAAUGUUGAGAACAGUAGGAACAGAAUCAAUGGUCAAUUAAUAAACAAGGUACAUAAUU
RNAcentral lists this long non-coding RNA (6124 nucleotides) under Sus scrofa (pig). Its description in RNAcentral is "lncRNA (ENSSSCG00000054748.1)". The record is from RNAcentral. Lineage: Eukaryota; Metazoa; Chordata; Mammalia; Artiodactyla; Suidae.